Molecule: ribosomal RNA, 488 nt
Filed under: uncultured bacterium
Lineage: Bacteria
Description: bacterial SSU rRNA
Rfam family: Bacterial small subunit ribosomal RNA
Source: RNAcentral
AACGAACGCUGGCGGCGCGCCUAAUACAUGCAAGUCGAGCGAGAAGACGUAGCAAUACGUUUGUAAAGCGGCGAACGGGUGAGGAAUACAUGGGUAACCUACCCUCGAGUGGGGAAUAACUAGCCGAAAGGUUAGCUAAUACCGCGUACGCUCCUUGGACUUCGGUUCAGGGAGGAAAGCGAUACCGUGGGUAUCGCGCUCUUGGAUGGGCUCAUGUCCUAUCAGCUUGUUGGNGAGGUAACGGCUCACCAAGGCUUCGACGGGUAGCUGGUCUGAGAGGACGAUCAGCCACACUGGCACUGCGACACGGGCCAGACUCCUACGGGAGGCAGCAGUAAGGAAUAUUGCGCAAUGGGCGAAAGCCUGACGCAGCGACGCCGCGUGGGGGAUGAAGGUCUUCGGAUUGUAAACCCCUUUCGGGAGGGAAGAUGGAACGAGCAAUCGUUCGGACGGUACCUCCAGAAGCAGCCACGGCUAACUUCGUGCCA